UGGUGGAGUGAUUUGUCUGGUUGAUUCCGUUAACGAACGAGACCCCGGCCUGCUAAAUAGGUGCAGCCAUCUUGCGAUGGUUUUCUGGCACCUUCUUAGAGGGACAAUUCAGUUUUACUGGAUGGAAGUUCGGGGCAAUAACA
Molecule: ribosomal RNA, 143 nt
Filed under: uncultured eukaryote
Lineage: Eukaryota
Description: partial 18S ribosomal RNA
Rfam family: Eukaryotic small subunit ribosomal RNA
Source: RNAcentral